UUGUGGCUCAAGGUCCUCGGAGCAAAAUGCUACAGCAGGAAGGGGAGAGGAAAUCUGGCUGUGGUAUACUGGAGGGGAACAAACAAGGGAGGCUCUUAAAGUCUAGGCAAGGCAAUGUCUCCAAGGACAGUGCAAUUUCUCAUCAGUGAGCUAUUGGUCAGACUCCCCAGUCUCAGAGGCCAGUUCAGGGUUUCUGUGCUGCCAGGGUGACAUUGCUCAAUCGCCUGUAGGGGAGCUGCAGCCCUGGAAAGAAGCCCAGGCUGUAGGGCUGCUGGUAUCUGGCUGGUCUUCUACUCCAAGAUAGAGGAGAAUGUCACUCCUGGUAAAUGUUCCUUCAAAUGACCUUUCUGAGAUAAGCCCUGUCCACCUUUCUGAAAUAAGUCCUGUCCAUUUCAGCAUCUGCCUUCCUCAGUAUGUCCUCUCCAGCACCAAAAAGACACGUCCUCUGAGAUCCAGCCAGUUCCCCUGACAUCCUUGGGUACUGGUGACGGUGCUUCUAGGGGAGUGAAGUCACUCCCAGCAUUGCUUUUCCGUGGGGAUCCUGUCGCGCUGAUGGUGGUGUGACACCUGAGUACAGACUGGCUUUUCAGCAAGAUACGUUUCUUUUUAGUUUAUGCUGCCAGUUUUCUCUGGAGAAUCAAGUUCUGUUUAAUCCAAAUGGGAAAUGUUUGGAAUGGUGAUGUCACUGUCUGUCAUUGAAAAUUAAAAAGAGAGGGGACAUAUGCCAACACCUUCCCUUGGAAUUUCUUUACCUGAGCUUUCAAUGUAGUAACAGAGUGUCUUAGAUCUCAAAUCUUUUCACCGUUUAUCACUUGGUCGUCAAGAUGAUGAAUGCUUCUGGCCCUAAAAUAUGCAUUAUUACAAUUCUUUGGUUUAAAAAUAUAUGGAUAGCUUUAAUAAAAGGGAUGACUGGAUCAAUUAAACCUUCUAAAUCCAAAGUCAAGCCCUCUUGGUUAAACCUAUAAUAUUGUGUCUCAUAGGUUUAGCUUUAAACUAAGGAUUUAAAGCAUAACCUAUCCAUUCCUCUGAAGAAUUUAACUUAAAAGAAAAAUCCAAUUGGGGAUAAUUGUUCACAUCUGCCUAAUGAUGUUGCUAUUUGAAAAGACAUAAGAGAAUGUACAUUUCUGAGUUACAGUAGCUUUCAGUUUAUAAUUAAAAUAAAAAUGGGAAAUUUUAAUUUUAUAUGAGGACUCAAGGUAACACAUUUUUUUAGCAUUAUCAGACAUUGAUUUUUUUUCUUAUUUUUUCUGCUUUUGUGCAGGUGAUGUAAGGAGGAGCAGAUGUGUUGCCUCUAGCAAGGCAAUAAUUCACUUCAUUUUUAUUGUUUGAUUUGCCUUGUGUGUGCUGUUCAUUGCUAACUGAGGCCUGCAAUGCUGUCCAUGGGAUCUGAAAUGUACAAGAACAGGUCAGAAGGCCUUGGGAGAACUGAAAAAGAAGUCAUUGCCCUGGCCUUAGUCACCUGUCCCCAGACAAAAAUCACACCCUGUCAUCCAUGAAGAUUUAGAGACCAGCCCCCAGUCAGCUGCUAUUUUUGACCAUAGUCCUUGCUGCCCUAGGCUCUUAGCCAUGGGACCGAGAACGUUAAUGUCAGAAAGAAGUUAGAAACUGAUGCUGAAGAGCAGACCUGUGUUGGAAAGAACAUAGUUCAAGGGAGACUGGUGAAUGAAGAAGGGAAGAUCAAUGUGAUGGCUGGAGCUUUAGCUGCCACAUUGGACCAUCAAGUGAAUUCAAGAUGGAAGCCAUAUGCUAAGUAUGGCAGAACAAAAAGACAGAGGAAACCUGGAACUUUGAUGACACUGUAGCUCCCAAAUCAGCCAGAAUCCAGCCUUAUGUUGUAUGAGAGAGAAAUAAGCUUCUAUCUUAUUGAAACCACUGUUAUUUCCUCCUUCACCUGGGACAUCACAAGCCUAGGGAAUCUUUGACCAGAGAGUGAAAAAUUAGAGAUUUUAUUUGUUUGUCUUUUGGUGAUUCUGAAGAGCAGUCACCGUUGGGAGCCCUGGAGCAAAUGCCAUCUAAGAUGGCCCGCAGGGCUCCAGUGUUUUCUGACUCCAAAGCCCCCUCAAGCAUAUUCUGUGCAGUUCCACACAACUCAGCCCAGAGGAGACGGCGGGCCUCACUGUGAAGCCCCGUGAGAGAGUCGGCGUGUACCCCGGGGGGCAGCCAGCACGGCAGAGCGUGUGACUUGCGUGGCGUGUGGGAGAGGGCUCCGGGGCCGUGCCUGUUUCUUAGCUGGUUCUGCUUUGGAGCCAGUGAAUUGGCCUCGCCUGGGGCCAGCGGGACCUUGGCCCGGACGGUGACUGUCCACCGCCUUGUUCCCGACGGCCCGGUCCUUCUCGCCAUCGUGCUGUGGUGGGGAACACCCGACACGCCUGCCCCAGGUCCGAGGAGCACGUCAGGAAUCCCACAAGCCUGCCUUGCAUCCUUGAGGCCGGCACCCUUCACGUGAGAUUUUGAAUGCAGUCAUGUGUCUCCAGCUGUCCCAGAGUCACAAAAAGUCCCCGUUCUAAUGAGGAGCUGUGGAAUGCUAAGGCUAAAGCUGCCUUGAGCUCUUCUUUCACAAGUUUCAAUCAUGGGUUAAUGCUGACAUUCUUUGGCUUUAGUAAAUGGGGAGGAUCCUUUUGUGUUUGUGUGAGGGCAGAGGCAGGGAUAAUUCGUGGCUCUCGGGGCUGACUUUGAUCCAGAAGUGUGUGUCUAGACUGCUUCUGAGUGGCAGGGAGAAGAGGGGUGCGGUGGUCCACGACGGGACCCUCCCUGCCUGCCGGGCACCCAAGCAGGAGGGGGGAUGCACGGGUACGUGUGUAGCGGGGAGCGGGUGUGCCUCAGCUGACGGGGUCAGCCAGCACCUGCU
Kogia breviceps (pygmy sperm whale) is the source of this 2848-nucleotide non-coding RNA. Lineage: Eukaryota; Metazoa; Chordata; Mammalia; Artiodactyla; Physeteridae. The record is from RefSeq and is a predicted model, not a curated record.